This is a long non-coding RNA of Mirounga angustirostris (Northern elephant seal), 1710 nucleotides long. RefSeq lists it as uncharacterized. Lineage: Eukaryota; Metazoa; Chordata; Mammalia; Carnivora; Phocidae. The record is from RefSeq and is a predicted model, not a curated record. The transcript is spliced from 6 exons.
ACUUAAAAAGAUACGUAUAAAGCUUAGAUGAUUAAAAUGUUAUGAUUCUUGACAAACAUAAAACUGAACCUGAACAUAAAGAUACAACACAUGCUUAAAUGGGAAGAACAGUUUUCAUGAAGAUGUCAAUACUCCCUAACCUAAUUAAUAAAUUUAAUGUAAUCUUCCCUCCAGCACCCUCACCCCCCCAAAAAAUCCUGAAAAAUGUUGACCUAGAUAAGAUGAUUCUAAAGCUUAUAUGGAAAAAUGAACAGGAGUACCGGGAAAACAACAACAACAAAGUAGCAAUGAGGGGAGAGAAGCCCUACUCAGUAUUAAAACAUGCUCUAAAUUUUCAAAAAGGAGUGUGAAAUAGGCACAUGUAUAGACAGAGAUCAAUGGAACAGGAUAAAAAAUGUGCCAAAUGAGACAUAAAUAAUACAGGAAUUUAGUAUACAAUAAAGGUGGCAACACAAAUCUCUGGAAUAAAGAUCAUUAAUUUUUUUCCAGUGUUGGACAACAAUCCUCUAGAAAAAAAUGAGCAAAGGAAAAGAAUAAACAGGUGGAAAACAGAAGAAAUUACAAAUGGCCCUUAAACAUAUGACAAUAGCCUCAACUCCAUUCAUGUUAUGGGUUGAACUGUUUCCCUCCAAAAUUCAUAUGGUGGAAUCCUAACUUGCAGGACUUCAGAAUGUGACCUUAUUUGGAAAUAGAGUCUUUACAGAGGGAAUGAAGUUAAAAUGACGCCAUUAGGGUACACCCUAAUCCAACAUGACUGGUGUCCUUGUUGAAUGAAGAAAUCUGCACACAGACAUACAGAGAGAGAAGACAAGGUAAAGGGAGCCAGAGAGAAAAUGGCCACCUACAAGUCAAGAAGAAGGCCUGGGACAGGUCCUCCCUCACUGCCCUCAAAAGGAACCAACCCUAAUGACACCCGGAUCUUGGACUUCAAGUUACCAGAACCGGCUUGAACUCAUGACCCUGAGAUCAAGACCUGAGCUGAGUAGAUCAAGAGUUGGAUGUUUAACCAACUGAGCCACCCAGGUGCUCCACUGGAUAAAUUAUUUCUAUCUCAUUAAAAACAAUGAGAGACAGCGAGAGAGGGAACACAAGCAGGGGGAGCAGCAGAGGGAGAAGCAGGCUUUCUGCCAAGCAGAGAGCCCGAUGCGGGGCUAGAUCCCAGGACCCUGGGAUCAUGACCUGAGCUGAACGCAGAUGCUUAAGGACUGAGCCACCCAGGUGCCCCCCACAUCUCAGUUCAGACUAGCAACAUUUUAAGUGCUGAAUGGACACAUGUGGCAAGUGGCCACCAUCCUGGACAGAUCAGCUCCAGAUGGAUACAGAUGAUGACAGGACCUCAGAGGAUGAAGUAGCCCCCAGGUAGAUGGAGGCUGGUCCCUGAGUCAUGAUGGACAGGGAAGCUACUCACUGACAGAAUACUCACUUAGAUCUGUAUUCAGAAGCCCCUGAAAAGUGCUGAAAAGAGUAAUGCGGCAAGCCCGAGAUCGGAUCCUUCGAAAGGCCUGCUUGCAAGGAUGGCCCCUGGCUGGCGUCUGGGCACUUGGGUUUCAGCAGUGUUCCCACCAUCCCUGGAAACAACGUUCCAGGGAUUCUCACAUCCCUUCAUGCUCCGAGCUUUCUAAGCAAAGACUGCUGGCACCUGGGUUAAAGAAAGUUUCUAAGGCAGAUGAGCCUCGUAAGUGGCAAAAGAGCUCGGCGUGCUGCCUGUAA